This 424-nucleotide ribosomal RNA is filed under the name Aname sp. MYG463. RNAcentral's name for it is "partial 16S ribosomal RNA". It matches the Rfam family "Archaeal large subunit ribosomal RNA", at positions 1925 to 2666 of the family's 2987-position model. The record is from RNAcentral. Lineage: Eukaryota; Metazoa; Arthropoda; Arachnida; Araneae; Anamidae.
UAAAAGAGUAUUAUUUUUAGUACCCCCUGCUCAAUGAUUUUAAAUAGCCGCAGUUUCCUGUGCUAAGGUAGCAUAAUCAUUUGCCUAAUAAUUAUAGGAUAGAAUGAAAGGUGUCACAUGUUAUCUUCUUUAUUAGGCAGGUUACUUUAAAUUAAUUUUUAAGUAAAAACUCUUAAAUAGUUAGGGGGACGACAAGACCCUGACGAACUUUACACUAUGUUUAGCUGGGGCGGCAGGCAAAUUACACCUUUCUUCCCUUUCCAAAAACCAACCUCCAAAUUGAUAAUCAAGUUACCGCAGGGAUAACAGCAUAAUUUUUUCCUGAAGAUCUUAUACAAGAAAAUAUUUGUGACCUCGAUGUUGAAUUAAAAGUCUUUUAGAGGCAGCACUCUAACAAGAGAGUCUGUUCGACUCUUAAAAAUUU